GUUACUCAAACUACAUCAUGUGGUGUGGCUAACUGGAACCCUAUCCUCUUUCCAAAAGUACGACGUUAUUGCAGAGGUUGCCACUGAGCUGAGGUACAGCGUCGACCACUUCCAGCAGCUGUCUAUACAGCAGCACAAGACGUUGUACAGGCGAGCCUUGGGCACCUGCAGUAGGUUCCUGAGGGCCGUCAGCUGCCGUGGUGAUCACAGGGAUGUCGUGCUUCCACCACGGGCUGCCUACCCCCAUUCAUCCUCUCCAGCUCCUACGCACCAGGCUGGUACAUCCUCUCAACCACCCGUUCAUCCGCCGUACCAGGACCCUGUACUGUACCACAGGCACAACUAAAUACCUAAACUAAAUCUAGUAUACUAACUAAACUACAUUUUCCUAUGUCUAAGAUCCACUAGAUUUUUCUAAGUCUUAGAUCCACUAAACUAACUACUAAAUCUAUAAUGCACUACAUCUAUCCACUGUACUAUCUACAUUACCUAAACUACGAGAUUUAAAAAAAAUACCUGACCCUCCCUCCCCUCCCUCCUUCCUUCCUUCCUUCUCCUCUUCCUCCCUUCCUCCCUUUCUAGCU
This 584-nucleotide long non-coding RNA is filed under the name Setaria viridis. Its description in RNAcentral is "long non-coding RNA (SVIR_LNC006280)". Lineage: Eukaryota; Viridiplantae; Streptophyta; Magnoliopsida; Poales; Poaceae. The record is from RNAcentral.